GCCGAUGUAGCUCAGUUGGCCAGAGCUACUGAUUUGUAAUCAGUGGGUCGGGGGUUCGAAUCCCUCCAUCGGCUC
RNAcentral lists this transfer RNA (75 nucleotides) under Bacteroidetes bacterium OLB10. RNAcentral describes it as "tRNA-Thr". It matches the Rfam family "tRNA". From Rfam's summary of the family: Transfer RNA (tRNA) molecules are approximately 80 nucleotides in length. Their secondary structure includes four short double-helical elements and three loops (D, anti-codon, and T loops). RNAcentral also lists the same sequence under 3 other names. Lineage: Bacteria; Pseudomonadati; Bacteroidota. The record is from RNAcentral.